This 253-nucleotide ribosomal RNA is filed under the name uncultured bacterium. Its description in RNAcentral is "partial 16S ribosomal RNA". It matches the Rfam family "Bacterial small subunit ribosomal RNA", at positions 524 to 776 of the family's 1533-position model. The record is from RNAcentral.
UACAGAGGGUGCGAGCGUUAAUCGGAAUUACUGGGCGUAAAGCGCGCGUAGGCGGCUUUGUAAGUCGGUUGUGAAAUCCCCGGGCUUAACCUGGGAACUGCAUCCGAGACUGCAUGGCUAGAGUAUGGGAGAGGGAAGUGGAAUUUCAGGUGUAGCGGUGAAAUGCGUAGAUAUCUGAAGGAACAUCGGUGGCGAAGGCGGCAUCCUGGACCGAUAUUGACGCUGAGGCGCGAAAGCCAGGGGAGCAAACGGG